GCGCUAUGGAGCCAUUUUGCAUUUUCUUGUUUGGGCGACUUCGGAAUAUCAAAUUUUUCACCAGGCCCGGUCGUCCUGCCAAAUUUCAUGAGUUUUCGCCAGUGGGAAGUGGGCCAUUUUCCAGUUCAAAGGGGAGGAAAAAUAAUAACUAGGGCCCCGUUGGGGCACUGGCGGGCCCGAGCCGUGUCGCGCCCCCUCCCCAACGCGAUCGCCUCCCCGUCCCAUUCUCUUCCUCUGGCCAUCGCCCUCUCUGGUAACGCCCAUCACUACAAAGACCCUUAUCCUUCAUCGGCGUUUGUGGUUCUUCCCGCCAGUGUGUGUCCAACGCUUUUGCGCGUUGAAAGGUUAGGGUCUCCACUAAAGGUCAGAGGUCAAAUAACAUUUGUAUCUCAAACUGUGACGUCACAGUCAGGGUCCAAAGAUGGUGUGCGCAACUGUCUUUGGUCAUUUCCCAUUAUAAUGAAUGGGAGGCACAGUCUCUACCAAAACGCUCGCUGCAGAAAAACUACGUGUCCUUUUUGAAAAAAGUCUGGACCAUGAGUGAGGGCACAAACACAGCUAGUAUAUAUCCAAAUGGCAAGUUGCUCCUCCUUUCGGUUUUGCCGAGAGAGCGAUGCGUUUGAGCCAUUGAGCGAUGGGCAGGAAAAACUUGACUUUUUCUCCUGCCAUGGGGGGCGCUCUUUUGGGGAGAAAAAAUUCCUUCACAAAUGUGUUGAUGGCUGGACAUUGCAUCAUCCUAGAAAACUUGGAGGCCAGUGAGGACAAAAAUAAAAAGUUAUAAGACUUUUAAAAAUGUGGAUAUUUGGGUCCUCUUUGGCGCCCCCUAGAACGUAAACUGUGGGGUGCAGCGUCAUGAUUUGUACAACUUUGAAUGGCCAUGGGGUGUAGAUUGACCUGAGCAAAUUUGAAGCCGAUGGGACAAAAGAUUUAGGAGGAGUUAGCCACAUUCCAAUGUGUGCGAAUCGGCAAAAAAUGCGAAAUAGCCCUUUAACCGUACAUUGAACAGAUACGCUCGCAUUGACUUUUUCGUAGAUCUUAUUGAGAUACAUGUGUGUGUCAAAUUUUGUGUCAUUUUGACAAAGCGUAAAGGCGUGACAGUCAACAAUGUGUAUUUUCGCCUUAGGAUACAAGAAAAAAUGGACUUUUUUCUCCUGCCAUGGGGGGGGGGGGCGCUCUUUUGGCGAGUAAAAAUUCCUUCACAAAUGUGUUGAUGGCUGGACAUUGCAUCAUCCUAGAGAACUUGGAGGCCAGUGAGGACAAAAAUAAAAAGUUAUAAGACUUUUAAGACUGUGGAUUUUUGGGUUAUCUUUGGCGCCCCCUAGAACGUAAACCGUGGGGUGCAGCGUCAUGAUUUGUACAACUUUUAAUGGCCAUGGGGUGUAGAUUGGCCUGAGCAAAUGUGGUGCCUUUGAAACGAAAGCCUUCGGAGGAGUUAGCCACAUUCCAAUGUGUGCGGAUCGGCAAAAAAUGCGAAAUAGCCCUUUAACCGUACAUUUGACAGAUACGCCCGCACUGACUUUUUUGUAGAUCUUAUUGAGAUACAUGUGUGUGUCAAUUUUUGUGUCAUUUUGCCAAAGCGUACAGGUAUUACACUCAACAAUGUGUAUUUUCACCUUAGGGGACAAGAAAAAAUUGACUUUUUUCUCCUGCCAUGGGGGGGCGCUCUUUUGGGGAGUAAAAAUUCCUUCACAAAUGUGUUGAUGGCUGGACAUUGCAUCAUCCUAGAAAACUUGGAGGCCAGUGAGGGCAAAAAUAAAAAGUUAUAAGACUUUUAAAUAUGUGGAUCUUAGGGUUAUCUUUGGCGCCCCCUAGAACCUAAACCGUGGGGUGCAGCGUCAUGAUUUGAAUAACUUUUAAUGGCCAUGGGGUGUAGAUUGGCCUGAGCAAAUGUGGUGCCGGUGGAACGAAAGCCUUCGGAGGAGUUAGCGAAAUUCCAAUGUGUGCGGAUCGGCAAAAAAUGCGAAAUAACCCUUUAACCGUACAUUUGACAGAUACGCCCGCACUGACUUUUUUGUAGAUCUUAUUGAGAUACAUGUGUGUGUCAAUUUUUGUGUCAAAUGACAAAGCGUACAGGCGUGACAGUCAAUAGUGUGAAUUUUCACCUUAGGGGGCGCUAUGGAGCCAUUUUGCAUUUUAUUGUUUGGGCGACUUCAGAAUAUCGAAUUUUUCACCAGGCCCGGUCGUCCUGCCAAAUUUCAUGAGUUUUCGCCAGUGGGAAGUGGGCCAUUUUCCAGUUCAAAGGGGAGAAAAAAAGAAAGAAAGAAAGAAAAAGAAAGAACUAGGGCCCCGUUGGGGCACUGGCGGGCCCGAGCCGUGUCGCGCCCCCUCCCCAACGCGAUCGCCCUCCCCGUCCCAUUCUCUUCCUCUGGCCAUCGCCCUCUCUGGUAACGCCCAUCACUACAAAGACCCUUAUCCUUCAUCGGCGUUUGUGGUUCUUCCCGCCAGUGUGUGUCCAACGCUUUUGCGCGUUGAAAGGUUAGGGUCUCCACUAAAGGUCAGAGGUCAAAUAACAUUUGUAUCUCAAACUGUGACGUCACAGUCAGGGUCCAAAGAUGGUGUGCGCAACUGUCUUUGGUCAUUUCCCAUUAUAAUGAAUGGGAGGCACAGUCUCUACCAAAACGCUCGCUGCAGAAAAACUACGUGUCCUUUUUGAAAAAAGUCUGGACCAUGAGUGAGGGCACAAACACAGCUAGUAUAUAUCCAAAUGGCAAGUUGCUCCUCCUUUCGGUUUUGCCGAGAGAGCGAUGCGUUUGAGCCAUUGAGCGAUGGGCAGGAAAAACUUGACUUUUUCUCCUGCCAUGGGGGGGCGCUCUUUUGGGGAGAAAAAAUUCCUUCACAAAUGUGUUGAUGGCUGGACAUUGCAUCAUCCUAGAAAACUUGGAGGCCAGUGAGGACAAAAAUAAAAAGUUAUAAGACUUUUAAAAAUGUGGAUAUUUGGGUCCUCUUUGGCGCCCCCUAGAACGUAAACUGUGGGGUGCAGCGUCAUGAUUUGUACAACUUUGAAUGGCCAUGGGGUGUAGAUUGACCUGAGCAAAUUUGAAGCCGAUGGGACAAAAGAUUUAGGAGGAGUUAGCCACAUUCCAAUGUGUGCGAAUCCGCAAAAAAUGCGAAAUAGCCCUUUAACCGUACAUUGAACAGAUACGCUCGCAUUGACUUUUUCGUAGAUCUUAUUGAGAUACAUGUGUGUGUCAAAUUUUGUGUCAUUUUGACAAAGCGUAAAGGCGUGACAGUCAACAAUGUGUAUUUUCGCCUUAGGAUACAAGAAAAAAUGGACUUUUUUCUCCUGCCAUGGGGGGGGCUCUUUUGGCGAGUAAAAAUUCCUUCACAAAUGUGUUGAUGGCUGGACAUUGCAUCAUCCUAGAGAACUUGGAGGCCAGUGAGGACAAAAAUAAAAAGUUAUAAGACUUUUAAGACUGUGGAUUUUUGGGUUAUCUUUGGCGCCCCCUAGAACGUAAACCGUGGGGUGCAGCGUCAUGAUUUGUACAACUUUUAAUGGCCAUGGGGUGUAGAUUGGCCUGAGCAAAUGUGGUGCCUUUGAAACGAAAGCCUUCGGAGGAGUUAGCGAAAUUCCAAUGUGUGCGGAUCGGCAAAAAAUGCGAAAUAGCCCUUUAACCGUACAUUUGACAGAUACGCCCGCACUGACUUUUUUGUAGAUCUUAUUGAGAUACAUGUGUGUGUCAAUUUUUGUGUCAAUAUGACAAAGCUUAAAGGCGUGACAGUCAAUAGUGUGAAUUUUCGCCUUAGGAGACAAGAAAAAAUUGACUUUUUUCUCCUGCCAUGGGGGGGCGCUCUUUUGGCGAGUAAAAAUUCCUUCACAAAUGUGUUGAUGGCUGGACAUUGCAUCAUCCUAGAGAACUUGGAGGCCAGUGAGGACAAAAAUAAAAAGUUAUAAGACUUUUAAGACUGUGGAUUUUUGGGUUAUCUUUGGCGCCCCCUAGAACGUAAACCGUGGGGUGCAGCGUCAUGAUUUGUACAACUUUUAAUGGCCAUGGGGUGUAGAUUGGCCUGAGCAAAUGUGGUGCCGGUGGAACGAAAGCCUUCGGAGGAGUUAGCGAAAUUCCAAUGUGUGCGGAUCGGCAAAAAAUGCAAAAUAACCCUUUAACCGUACAUUUGACAGAUACGCCCGCACUGACUUUUUUGUAGAUCUUAUUGAGAUACAUGUGUGUGUCAAUUUUUGUGUCAAUAUGACAAAGCGUAAAGGCGUGACAGUCAAUAGUGUGAAUUUUCACCUUAGGGGGCGCUAUGGAGCCAUUUUGCAUUUUAUUGUUUGGGCGACUUCAGAAUAUCGAAUUUUUCACCAGGCCCAUUCGUCCUGCCAAAUUUCAUGAGUUUUCGCCAGUGGGAAGUGGGCCAUUUUCCCCUUCAAAGGGGAGGAAAAAUAAGAAGAAAGAAAGAAAGAAAGAAAGAACUAGGGCCCCGUUGGGGCACUGGCGGGCCCGAGCCGUGUCGCACCCCCCCCCCCCCCCAACGCGCUGCCUCCCCGUCCCAUUUGUGUCCUCUGGCCAUCGCCCUCUCUGGUGACGCCCAUCACUGCAAAGACCCUUUUCCUUCAUCGGCGUUUGCUGUUCUUCCUGCCAGUGCGUGUUGCUUUCACUUACACUUGCCACAGCCAGCCUCGUGAGUGCCUAGCCUAUUGGAUAUCACUGUCACCUACACAGGACAGUCAUACUUUGUUUUUUAAUUUCACAUUAAUUUCCUUAUUGUAUAAACGACUGGAAAAAACUUGAGCCCCUGCCCCUGUAUUAUCAUGUGCACGUCCCUGUUCUAGCUCCAAGGUGAAUCUUCACUGCUCAUGUUCUCCUCAGAAGCAGUCACCUCACUCCCCUCAGGUUACUGUACACAUGCACCAACUGCCUGCUUCAGGUUUGGAUGGAGCUUCAUGGUUGUCUUUUGGAGAAAUGAGCAGUCAAGUUGUGUUUGAAAUUUGAUUUUUUUCAGGGGCAAAAGGAAGCCUCUGCAUUCUUGUCAAAUAUGUAAAUAGCAUGUAUUUGCAGGUGCUAAAAAACAGACUCUGAGUGUGUGUGUGUGUGUGUGUGUGUGUGCGUGUGUGUGUGUGUGUCUGUGUGUGUGUGUGUGUGUGUAUCCUGCAGUACUCUGAGAAGAAUAAUAAGCAUAUUUCUGAGGUGAAUUUUGAAGAUUCAUCUGAGAGUUAGGUUUGAUUCGAUUCGAUUGACGCUCCCCAGCGUUCAAGUCACAUGACAUAUUUAACCGGAUGUAGCUGCAAGACGGAGCCUCGUUAAUUCUCUGUUUCAACUUAUCUCAAAAGUGAGGACCUCAACCUAUAUACCAGUUUUUAAAUUGUGUUGAUAGGCCAAAUAAAACCAGAGUUAUGAUAAAUUAUGUCCGUGAUACUUUUUUUCUGCUUAUUUUGAUCACGUUCGGCGCUCGAUCGCGCUGUAUGAGACAGGAAAACAUAGCAUGCACACAUUAGCGACAGGUCUUACAGGCGGAAAAGGCUUGCCUAAAGAAAAAAAAAACACACCACAACAUCUCUCCUAUUGGUGGAAAACUUCACCACAACAACCAAUCCAAAAUUAUAUGGUGACUGAUUGACAAGGGGCGGGCGCUUACGUUCUUCCUGCAACAUGAGAAGGGAGGGAGGGACUCUCAGCAGGGAUGCAGUCUGGGACACGUAGUUGCAAACCUAGCGACUUUGUUGUUAGAUUCAAUUACUUUUCAGACCCCCUAACGACUUUAGAAAGAAAGGGACUUUUAUCGACUUCUUCUGGAGUUUAGAGACUCUGACAUGAAGCAGGCUUUCCUUACUGAGGAGUUAGCAACGCUGCUAAGGGUGCAGAGCCACACAUGCGCUCCGAGCUCUGCAUGGGAGACUGAAGCUGACAGAGCUGCAGCAGUUAGCAGGUUUCACCCUCAGAGACCACCAGGGGUUCAUGUUGAGGCAUUUUCAGUUUUUGUUUUUUUUGCCAUAGACACUGUCAGCACAAUCUGCAGUUACACUAACAAAAAUGCUGCAAAAAACAAAGAAUUAUGGAAAAAUUACACAUGGACUGACAUAGAGGAGGAUCUACACAAGUUUUUUACAUCAUGUUUUACAUCAUGCAUCAUUUACAUCAUGUUUUUUUGUAGUGGCAUAAAUAAAAAGUGACAUUUGUGAGACUAUACAGUGUUUUGUAAAUAAUUUUACAAAGAACGCCUGGGCCAUUGCCUGCAUUUUGAUGUAAAUAGAGGUAAAUUACUAUGUUCUUUGUUAAAAAUUUGCAUAUGUUUUGAAGUUUACAAUUUUUAUUUGAAGUUUAAGUUUUAAAAACAGUUCAUCACACAUAUUUGUGGUUUAAUUUCACAUUAAUUUCCAUAUUGUAUAAAUGACUGGAAAAAACUUGAGCCCCUGCCCCUGUAUAAUCAUGUGCACGUCCCUGUUCUAGCUCCAAGGUGAAUCGUCACUGCUCAUGUUCUCCUCAGAAAUAGUCACCUCACUCCCCUCAGGUUACUGUACACAUGCACCAACUAUCUGCUUCAGGUUUGGAUGGAGCUUCAUGGUUGUCUUUUGGAGAAAUGAACAGUCAAGUUGUGUUUGAAAUCUGAUUUUUUUCAGGGGCAAAAGGAAGCCUCUGCAUUCUUGUCAAAUAUGUAAACAGCAUGUUUUUGCAGGUGCUAAAAAACAGACUCUGAGUGUGUGUGUGUGUGUGUGUGUGUGUGUGUGUAUAUGUGUGUGUAUCCUGCAGUACUCUGUACUCCUGCAGUGGCCAAAAAGACUUUUAAGAAUGUGGAUUUUUGGGUCAUCUUUGGCGCCCCCUAGAACUGCAGUACUCUGUACUCCUGCAGUGUCCAAAAUGACUUUUAAGAAUGUGGAUUUUUGGGUCAUCUUUGGCGCCCCCUAGAACGUAAACCGUGGGGUGCAGCGUCAUGAUUUUUACAACUUUGAAUGGCCAUGGGGUGUAGAUUGCCCUGAGCAAAUUUGGUAUCGGUGGGACGAAAGCCUUGGGAGGAGAUAGCCACAUUCCAAUGUGUGCGAAUCGGCAAAAAAUGCGAAAUAGCCCUUUAACCGUACAUUAUACAGAUACGCGCUUUUUGACUUUUUCGUAGAUCUUAUUGAGAUACACGUGUGUGUCAAAUUUUGUGUCAAUAUGACAAAGCGUUCAGGCGUGACACUCAACAAUGUGUAUUUUCAUGUAAGGGGACAAGAAAAAAUUGACUUUUUUCUCCUGCCAUGGGGGGGGCGCUCUUUUGGGGAGUAAAAAUUCCUUCACAAAUGUGUUGAUGGCUGGACAUUGCAUCAUCCUAGAAAACUUGGAGGGCAGUGAGGACAAAAAUAAAAAGUUAUAAGACUUUUAAGAAUGUGGAUUUUGGGUUAUCUUUGGCGCCCCCUAGAACGUAAACCGUGGGGUGCAGCGUCAUGAUUUGUACAACUUUUAAUGGCCAUGGGGGGUAGAUUGGCCAGCGCAAAUGUGGUGCCGGUCGAACGAAAGCCUUCGGAGGAGUUAGCGAAAUUCCAAUGUGUGCAGAUCUGCAAAAAAUGCAAAAUAACCCAUUAACCGUACAUUUGACAGAUACGCCCGCACUGACUUUUUUGUAGAUCUUAUUGAGAUACAUGUGUGUGUCAAUUUUUGUGUCAAUAUGACAAAGCGUACAGCCGUCAUGUGAAUUUUCACCUUAGGGGGCGCUAUGGAGCCAUUUUGCAUUUUAUUGUUUGGGCGACUUCAGAAUAUCGAAUUUUUCACCAGGCCCGGUCGUCCUGCCAAAUUUCCUGAGUUUUCGCCAGUGGGAAGUGGGCCAUUUUCCAGUUUAAAGCGGAGGAAAAAUAAUAACGAAAGAAGGAAACAUGCAGGAACAAGAGGGCUCUCGCAGCUGCUUAGCAGCUACGCUCGGGCCCUAAAGAAAGAAGAAAGAAAAACCCAUACAGGAACAAUAGGGCUCUCGCAGCUGCUUAGCAGCUACGCUCGGGCCCUAAUAACGAAAGAAGAAUCCAUCAGGAACAAGAGGGCUCUCGCAGCUGCUUAGCAGCUACGCUCGGGCCCUAAAUAUAUUUUUGCAGUGUUAAGGCUUCCUUAAGGUAAUACCCGGGUAUUAGGUCACGGGGCUAGGGUAAGGUUUAAGGUUUUUUAUCGUGAGGGUUAAAAUCACUGUCCAAUAUUUUUUAGGAAUAUGUUUAAGACCUUUUGGAGUUAGUAAGACCAAAAAAAUGUAGAAUGAAAAAAAACAAUUUGGGGUUGUAGGGCUUCCUUAAGGUAAUACCCGGGUAUUAGGUUAUGGGGCUAGGGUAAGGUUAAAGGUUUUUGGCGUUAGGGUUAAAAUCACUGUCCAAAACCUUUGUAGGAACAUGUUUCAGACCUUUUGGAGUUAGUUAGACCAAAAAAAACGAAAAAUAAAAAAGAUACUUUGGGGCAUGUAGGGCUUCCUUUAGGUAAUACCCGGAUAUUAGGUUACACGGCUAGGUAAAGUUUAAAGGUUUUUGGCGUUAGGGUUAAAAUCACUGUCCAAAACCUUUGUAGGAUCUCUUUUCCAACCUUUUUGCGUUAGUUUGACAAAAAAAAAAAAAAAAAACGAAAAAUGAAAUAAAAAUUUUUUGGGGUGUGGGUAAGAGAUACAGUGAUAGCCCCCGCAUUCGUCAGUUGACUUGGCGGUUUGGGGUAGGCUGAUCAAGGGCUUGCACUGGCCGGCGCAUGUCGACCUGUCACAUGUUCCCAGUCGAGUCUCUGAGCUCAAUCUGUGUGUAAAAAUUAUGUGUUGGUAGGAAGUUUAAUGACUCAGCUCAAUUGGUAUGCUAUGCUGUCUAUCUUUUAGACUAUGUGUUUGUAGAGCAAUUAUUUUUGGAGGUUCAGUUAGGGAUUAGAGUUGGUAUGGUUAAGUGUGAAAAUAAUAAUAACUAGGGCCCCGGUGGGGCACUGUCGGGCCCGAGCAGCGUCGCGCCGCCCCCAGCGCGACCGCCUCCCCCUCCCGAUCGCGUCACACUCAAGGUCCAAAGAUGGUGUGCGCACUUGUCUGUGGUCAUUUCCCAUUAUAAUGAAUGGGAGACGCAGUUUCUACCAAAACACUCGCUGCAGACAAACUACAUGUCCUAUUUGAAAACAGUCUGGACCAUGAGUGAGGGCACAAACACAGCUAGGAUAUAUCCAAAUGGCAAGUUGCUCCUCGUUACGGUGUUGCCGGGAGAGCGAUGCGAUUGAGCCAUUGAGCGAUGGGCAGGAAAAACUUGACUUUUCCUCCUGCCUUGGGGGGGGGGGGAUUCUUUUAAGAAUGUGGAUAUUUGGGUCAUCUUUGGCGCCCCUUAGAACGUAAACCGUGGGGUGCAGCGUCAUGAUUUUUACAACUUUGAAUGGCCAUGGGAUGUAGAUCUGCUUGAGCAAAUUUGGUGUCGGUGGGACGAAAGCCUUAGGAGGAGUUAGCGAAAUUCCAAUGUGUGCGGAUCGGGAAAAAAUGCGAAAUAGCCCUUUGACUGUACAUUUUACAGAUGCGUGCACAUUGACUUUUUCGUAGAUCUUAUUGAGAUACACGUGUGUGUCAAAUUUUGUGUCAUUUCGACAAAGCGUAUAGGAGUGACACUCAACAAUGUGUUUUUUCACCUUAGGGGACAAGAAAAAAUGGACUUUUUUCUCCUGCCAUGGGGGGGGGGCGCUCUUUUCGAGAGUAAAAAUUCCUUUACAAAUGUGUUGAUGGCUGGACAUUGCAUCAUCCUAGAAAACUUGGAGGCCAGUGAGGACAAAAAUAAAAAGUUAUAAGACUAUUAAGAAUGUGGAUUUUAGGGUUAUGUUUGGCGCCCCCUAGAACCUAAACCGUGGAGUGCAGCAUCAUGAUUUGUACAACUUUGAAUGGCCAUGGGGUGUAGAUUGGCCUGAGCAAAUUUGGUGGCGGUGGAACGAAAGCCUUCGGAGGAGUUAGCGAAAUUCCAAUGUGUGCGGAUCGGGAAAAAAUGCGAAGUAACCCUUUAACCGUACAUUUUACAGAUACGUGCCCAUUGACUUUUUCGUAGAUGUUAUUGAGAUACACGUGAUUGUCAAAUUUUGGGUCAAUAUGACAAAGCGUAUAGGCGUGACACUCAACAAUGUGUAUUUUCACCUUAGGGGACAAGAAAAAAUUGACUUUUUUCUCCUGCCAUGGGGGGCGCUCUUUUGGGGAGUAAAAAUUCCUUCACAAAUGUGUUGUUGGCUGGACAUUGCAUCAUCCUAGAAAACUUGGAGGCCAUUGAGGACAAAAAUACAAAGUUAUAAGACUUUUAAGACUGUGGAUUUUUGGGUUAUCUUUGGCGCCCCCUAGAACGUAAACCGUGGGGUGCAGCGUCAUGAUUUGUACAACUUUUAAUGGCCAUGGGGUGUAGAUUGGCCUGAGCAAAUGUGGUGCCGGUGGAACGAAUGCCUUCGGAGGAGUUAGAGAAAUUCCAAUGUGUGCAGAUCUGCAAAAAAUGCGAAAUAACCCUCUAACCGUACAUUUCACAGAUGCGCCCGCACUGACUUUUUCGUAGACCGUAUUGCGAUACACGUGUGUGUCAAUUUUUGUUUCAACAUGACAAAGCGUACAGGCGUGACAGUCAAUAGUGUGAAUUUUCACCUUAGGGGGCGCUAUGGAGCCAUUUUGCAUUUUAUUGUUUGGGCGACUUCAGAAUAUCGAAUUUUUCACCAGGCCCGGUCGUCCUGCCAAAUUUCAUGAGUUUUCGCCAGUGGGAAGUGGGCCAUUUUCCCCUUCAAAGGGGAGGAAAAAUAAGAAGAAAGAAAGAAAGAACUAGGGCCCCGUUGGGGCACUGGCGGGCCCGAGCCGUGUCACGCCGCCCCCAGCGCGACCGCCUCCCCCACCCGAUCGCGUCACACUCAAGGUCCAAAGAUGGUGUGCGCACUUGUUUGUGGUCAUUUACCAUUAUAAUGAACGGGAGGCGCAGUUUCUACCAAAACGCUCGCUGCAGAAAAACUCCAUGUCCUAUUUGAAAAAAGUCUGGACCAUGAGUGAGGGCACAAACACAGCUAAGAUAUAUCCAAAUGGCAAGUUGCUCCUCCUUUCGCUUUUGCCGAGAGAGCAGUGCGUUUGAGCCAUUGAAUGAUGAACAGGAAAAACUUGACUUUAUUCUCCUGCCAUGGGGGGGCGCUCUUUUAAAGAGAAAAAACUCCUUCACAAAUGUGUUGAUGGCUGGACAUUGCAUCAUCCUAGAAAACAUGGAGGCCAGUGAGGACAAAAAUAAAAAGUUAUAAGACUUUUAAAUAUGUGGAUUUUAGGGUUAUAUUUGGCGCCCCCUAGAACCUAAACCGUGGGGUGCAGCGUCAUGAUUUGAAUAACUUUUAAUGGCCAUGGGGUGUAGAUUGGCCUGAGCAAAUGUGGUGCCGGUGGAACGAAAGCCUUCGGAGGAAUUAGCGAAAUUCCAAUGUGUGCGAAUCUGCAAAAAAUGCGAAAUAACCCUUUAACUGUACAUUUUACAGAUACGUGGCCAUUGACUUUUUCGAAGAUCUUAUUGAAAUACACGUGUAUGUAAAAUUUUGUGUCAAUACGACAAAACAUACAGGCGUAGCACUCAACAAUGUGUAUUUUCACCUUAGUGGACAAGAAAAAAUUGACUUUUUUCUCCUGCCAUGGGGGGGCGCUCUUUUGGGGAGUAAAAAUUCCUUCACAAAUGUGUUGAUGGCUGGACAUUGCAUCAUCCUAGAAAACUUGGAGGCCAGUGGGGACAAAAAUAAAAAGUUAUAAGACUUUUAAAUAUGUGGAUUUUAGGGUUAUCUUUGGCGCCCCCUAGAACCUAAACCGUGGGGUGCAGCGUCAUGAU
RNAcentral lists this long non-coding RNA (11701 nucleotides) under Xyrichtys novacula (pearly razorfish). Lineage: Eukaryota; Metazoa; Chordata; Actinopteri; Labriformes; Labridae. The record is from RNAcentral.